UACGUAGGGUGCGAGCGUUGUCCGGAAUUAUUGGGCGUAAAGGGCAGGUAGGUGGUCUCGUUUGUCUGGGGUGAAAGCCUUGGGCUUAACUCAAGAAGUGCCCCAGAAACGGCGAGACUAGAGUACUGGAGAGGGUCGUGGAAUUCCCGGUGUAGCGGUGAAAUGCGUAGAGAUCGGGAGGAACACCAGCGGCGAAGGCGGCGACCUGGACAGUUACUGACACUCAACUGCGAAAGCGUGGGGAGCAAACAGG
RNAcentral lists this ribosomal RNA (253 nucleotides) under uncultured bacterium. RNAcentral's name for it is "partial 16S ribosomal RNA". It matches the Rfam family "Bacterial small subunit ribosomal RNA", at positions 524 to 776 of the family's 1533-position model. The record is from RNAcentral.